This 85-nucleotide non-coding RNA is filed under the name unclassified sequences. RNAcentral's name for it is "c-di-GMP sequence". It matches the Rfam family "c-di-GMP-II-GAG riboswitch aptamer". The record is from Rfam by way of RNAcentral.
GCGCCAGCGGGAGGCUCUGACACGCGGCCCAUGCUCCGGCCGCCGGGACCGCGUCCAGCCACUGGCGAGACCGACCUGCGCAUGC